Molecule: long non-coding RNA, 274 nt
Filed under: Setaria italica (foxtail millet)
Lineage: Eukaryota; Viridiplantae; Streptophyta; Magnoliopsida; Poales; Poaceae
Description: long non-coding RNA (SITA_LNC006505)
Source: RNAcentral
GCGACCGCUUGCCCGCCGGCCACAGCCCGCGCCCGCCCGCGCCCGCCGGCCGCCGCCCGCUCGCCCGCGCCCGCCCGCGUGGACAGACGGCGCGUGACGGGGGUGAAGUGGGAUGCCCCCGUCCGCUCGUUUUGGUGGGACGGGGGCAUCCCGCAUCUGGAGGGUAUAUUCCCUCGUAGGGAUGUCCCCGUCCCACCUGUCCUCCAACCAAACGCGGGACGAAGUGGGAUCGUCCCGUCCCGUCCCACUUCGUCCUCGCAACCAAACGCACCCU